Rhipicephalus sanguineus (brown dog tick) is the source of this 854-nucleotide long non-coding RNA. RefSeq lists it as uncharacterized. The record is from RefSeq and is a predicted model, not a curated record. Lineage: Eukaryota; Metazoa; Arthropoda; Arachnida; Ixodida; Ixodidae. The transcript is spliced from 4 exons.
UCAUCUCUCCUAGGCUUUGCACAGCUUGAGGUGUAUGCCGGGAAGAGCAUUCGAAUGCGAGGCGGUUGGUGCGGUUGUUGAAGUCGCGUUUGUGCAGUGCUGCUAUUCGUUUCAUCGAUUUAACCAGGUUUUACGCUCCGCGCUUUGUUAACGUGCCUGGUCUAAUCGUGUUGUGUACGUGAGUGGCGUGUAACUAGUGAUACAGCAAGCAAGGACAGUCAUUAACGUGCGCGAUCCGCCGCAAAUAAGCCACGAUGCAUUGCAACGGGCACGUUCAGUGGGCUGCGCGGCCGUUGCGACGAGCUGCAUUGCUGAUUCUUCGCUUGCCUGAGACUCGCAAUUGUCGAGCGGGUUGCAUCCGUUGUUACGUUGCCCGAAGACCGCAGUAAAUGUGAUUUGCAGGGUGCAAGCAACGUGUCAUUGUGGUUAGAAAAAAUGAAUCAGUAUACAUGUGAUUUAACUGUCAAAGCCGGAAUGUUUAAAGCAUACAUCCCGCCCAAGGCAUGCUGGGAUGAUCUACUAUCAGGCAGCUUGGAAGCUUCCAGACGCCGAUAUGCCUUACGUUCGGUGCAGCCGAGGUUGUGAACUGUCAAGUGGAAGAUGCCCCUUGAGGAAAACAAUUAGGAUCGACUGUCCAGCGUGGAGAUUGCGGAAUCAGCAGCUGACAUAUUGACUGAUGAAACAUGAUGGUGCGUGCAGCAAGAGAGGGUUUGACUGCAGAUCCUGACCACCUGCUCCUGUAAAUUUGUACCAACCACAGGCGAAAACAAGGGGAAACGCUUUGAAUACUUGCGGUCUUCUAUCAGCUAGACAAGUCCCUGAAGCUAUAAAUCAAUAAACUGAUGUAUUCUGCU